CAUAAGCUCAUGGAGGUAGUCCCACACGUAAGCAUAUGGAGGCUAUUCCAUGCUUAAGUUCGCAUAGGUUAUCUUAUGCGUAAGCUCAUAGAGGCUAUCCAAUAAUGAGGUUAGUUCAAACCACUUCUUAUCCAUCUGAUUUUACAUGUUAGCCUUGUCAAAUCAAUUCCAAUUAUACAAUGCAUUUCUCACAAUUUCAUGGUAUUUAUAAUCAUUAUUCAUAUAGUCAUGUUUUUAAUAUUUGAUACAUAUAAUAAUCAUACAAGUAUGUUUACACUGGAAACCACAUAAAAUAUAUCAUCUCAUGCAAAACCAUGUCCAUAAAAACAAAUCUCAUUAUGCAACACAACUACUACAAUGCUACCGGUCCAUACUAGUGAUCAGGUUCAGAGAUUCUUACCUCUACCACAAUCCAACACAACUACAAUGCUACUGAUCCAUACAUAACAUGCCCAGUUAAUCAAUAUAGAAUGACUUGCCCUUGAUCAAUCCUUAGCAAUAAUAAUUAAAAUUGUUGCCAAGUUUCUAAUUCAAAAUUCUUGAUGCCUAAGUUACCUUUAUCCCCAAUUUCUCGAUCCUACCUGAUACAUAACUAUUUAAAUUAAAAAAUUAAGAAUUUACCUUGAUUU
Molecule: long non-coding RNA, 629 nt
Filed under: Phoenix dactylifera (date palm)
Lineage: Eukaryota; Viridiplantae; Streptophyta; Magnoliopsida; Arecales; Arecaceae
Description: long non-coding RNA (PDAC_LNC002332)
Source: RNAcentral